RNAcentral lists this signal recognition particle RNA (274 nucleotides) under Rhinopithecus bieti (black snub-nosed monkey). RNAcentral describes it as "Metazoan signal recognition particle RNA (ENSRBIG00000005416.1)". The stretch from base 59 to 226 matches the Rfam family "Metazoan signal recognition particle RNA", at positions 90 to 257 of the family's 299-position model. From Rfam's summary of the family: The signal recognition particle (SRP) is a universally conserved ribonucleoprotein. It is involved in the co-translational targeting of proteins to membranes. The eukaryotic SRP consists of a 300-nucleotide 7S RNA and six proteins: SRPs 72, 68, 54, 19, 14, and 9. The record is from RNAcentral. Lineage: Eukaryota; Metazoa; Chordata; Mammalia; Primates; Cercopithecidae.
GUGGGGACUGUUAGCAGCAUAGGAUUGAGGGGUUGGAAGAGACCUUUAGAACAGCAGGUUGUUCUGCCAACUGGAUGUCUGCUCUAAGUUCGGUAUCAAUAUGGUGACCUCCUGGGAACAGGGGGCCACCAGGUUGCCUAAGGAUGAAUGAACUGGCCCAGAUCAGAAAGGGAGCAGGUCAGAACUCCCACACCAAAAGGUAGUGUGACUGUGCCUGAGCAAUACAGAAGAUCUUGGAUCUUACAGGAAAUAUAAAGAACAGCAGCUCAUUCCC